RNAcentral lists this ribosomal RNA (248 nucleotides) under uncultured bacterium. RNAcentral describes it as "partial 16S ribosomal RNA". It matches the Rfam family "Bacterial small subunit ribosomal RNA", at positions 107 to 354 of the family's 1533-position model. The record is from RNAcentral.
UGAGUAACGCGUGAGGAACCUGCCUUCCAGAGGGGGACGAACAGUUGGAAACGACUGCUAAUACCGCAUGACACAUUUGAAUCGCAUGGUUUGAAUGUCAAAGAUUUAUCGCUGGAAGAUGGCCUCGCGUCUGAUUAGCUAGUAGGCGGGGUAACGGCCCACCUAGGCGACGAUCAGUAGCCGGACUGAGAGGUUGACCGGCCACAUUGGGACUGAGAUACGGCCCAGACUCCUACGGAAGGCAGCAG